UAUACCCAUGACUCAUUUAUUUUGUCACUGGCAGUUUGUAUCUCUUAAUCUCCCUCACUCAUUUCUCUCCUCUCCUCAUCCCCCUCUUCUCUAGCAACCCACCUUCCUGUUCUCUGUAUCUGACUCUUUCUACUUUGUUACGCUUGUUCAGUUGUUUUGUUUUUUAGAUUCUACAUUUAAGGGGAAUCAUAUUUUAUUUGUCUUUAUCUGACUUAUUUCUCUUUGCAUGAUACCCUCUAGGUCCAUCCAUGUUGUUGCAAAUAUAUCAGCCCGAUUCUCCCAACAGCAUUUGCCCACUUUGUGUCUCUGUGUUACGUUUUGGUAAUUCUCACAAUAUUUCAAACUUUUUCACUCUUAUUGUGUAUGUUAUGGUGAUCUGCCAUCAGUGUGAUCUUUCAUGUUACAGCUAUGACUCACUGAAGGCACAGAUGAUGGUUAGCAUUUUUUAGCAAUAAAGUACUUCUAAGUUAAAGUAUGUACGUUGUUUUUUCAGACAUAAUGCUAGAUCGUAAGAG
Molecule: non-coding RNA, 515 nt
Organism: Vicugna pacos (alpaca)
Lineage: Eukaryota; Metazoa; Chordata; Mammalia; Artiodactyla; Camelidae
Source: RefSeq, a predicted model, not a curated record